Molecule: ribosomal RNA, 465 nt
Filed under: uncultured bacterium
Lineage: Bacteria
Description: partial 16S ribosomal RNA
Rfam family: Bacterial small subunit ribosomal RNA
Source: RNAcentral
GACGAACGCUGGCGGCGUGCUUAACACAUGCAAGUCGUACGGUAAGGCCCUUUCGGGGGUACACGAGUGGCGAACGGGUGAGUAACACGUGAGUAACCUGCCCACAACUUUGGGAUAACGCUAGGAAACUGGUGCUAAUACUGGAUAUGUGCUCCUGCUGCAUGGUGGGGGUUGGAAAGCUCCGGCGGUUGUGGAUGGACUCGCGGCCUAUCAGCUUGUUGGCGGGGUAGUGGCCUACCAAGGCGGCGACGGGUAGCCGGCCUGAGGGGGUGACCGGCCACAUUGGGACUGAGAUACGGCCCAGACGCCUACGGGAGGCAGCAGGGGGGAAUAUUGCACAAUGGGCGCAAGCCUGAUGCAGCAACGCCGCGUGCGGGAUGACGGCCUUCGGGUUGUAAACCGCUUUCAGCAGGGACGAAGCUUUUUGUGACGGUACCUGCAGAAGAAGCACCGGCUAACUACGUG